UUAUAAUGGUUGUCGUUAUUUUAUGAUAGACUAGAUUUAAAAUAAGUUGAAUAUUUGAGCAAUGAUAUAAUUCAAACAGAACUACAUAGAAAUGCUUUUUCUCGUGAAAAAUAAAAGGAUGGAAGUUUUAGUAAAAAUUCUAAGAACUCACAACAACAAUAAAGCUACAUUAUGGGUCAACAAACAUUACUUGUGCAGUGAUAGUUUUUCAACGAAAGAACAAUGUUAAAGUAAAAACUUUUUUCAUUGAGUUUUUUGUAGGUAGGUGUAUACCUACCCAAUAGUAUAAAAAAAUUAUAGAUAAAAUUUCAAUGUUAAGCGAAGUCACUUAAGUAACUUUUUCAAAUCGAUCAAAAUAAACAAUCUACCGAAAGUAUAAUAAAGUUACGAAUAUACGUAAAGUGGAAUUCUUGACUCAACUCAUCAACUAAAACGAAAGCCACAGAUAAAAUAUAAAGUUUGUCUCUGUUUUAUACUUCUUCAUUAUUUCUUUUCCUUACGAUUUUUUACUAUUUAUAAAUUGUGGAA
Daktulosphaira vitifoliae (grape phylloxera) is the source of this 528-nucleotide long non-coding RNA. RefSeq lists it as uncharacterized. The transcript has 3 exons. The record is from RefSeq and is a predicted model, not a curated record. NCBI's taxonomy places the organism in Eukaryota, Metazoa, Arthropoda, Insecta, Hemiptera, Phylloxeridae.